This is a non-coding RNA of Paramuricea clavata, 156 nucleotides long. The record is from the annotation of a GenBank genome assembly. NCBI's taxonomy places the organism in Eukaryota, Metazoa, Cnidaria, Anthozoa, Malacalcyonacea, Plexauridae.
UAUUAUAAGACUUGUUACAAGGUUGUUCCAACAUGUCUGAUACAGUCAUGGUAUAACAAUAUUGUUACAACCUUGUGUCAUCAACCUUGUAACAUUCUUGUUAUAUCAUGACUGUAUCAUACUUGUUAGAACAACCUUGUAACAAGUCUGAUAAUG